Molecule: long non-coding RNA, 211 nt
Filed under: Ananas comosus (pineapple)
Lineage: Eukaryota; Viridiplantae; Streptophyta; Magnoliopsida; Poales; Bromeliaceae
Description: long non-coding RNA (ACOM_LNC033487)
Source: RNAcentral
UAGGAAGUCUGGACGCGAGAGGCGUAAUUUAUAGCGAAAGUCAGUGAUUGAAUUAUUUUAACUCAGCCUAGAGUGGAGUGAGUGACUGAAGAAGUGUCUAUUUCGACCAAGAAAAUUAUGUCGGCUGCAGACAGCAUAGUUUUGAGGAGAAACAGGGGCGGUCUUCUAGACUUUCGCUUGAUUGGGUUGUGAGUGAUUGUGUUUUGUAUUU